Lycium barbarum (goji berry) is the source of this 731-nucleotide long non-coding RNA. RefSeq lists it as uncharacterized. NCBI's taxonomy places the organism in Eukaryota, Viridiplantae, Streptophyta, Magnoliopsida, Solanales, Solanaceae. The transcript is spliced from 3 exons. The record is from RefSeq and is a predicted model, not a curated record.
UAAAAUAAAGCCACAAGAUGAAGAGCUUCUCCAAGAAGCUCACGGCUAAGCUCCAUGGAAAACCAAAUCCAAUUCAAGCCUUCCAAAAAAUAAUUCCUUGGUGUAAACCCACUAUAUUAAGGUCCCUAAGUAACGUGGAAGCAUCGUUGGAGCGAUCAAGUCAUUCAUUUAAGAGAUUGCAAACCCUAACCCAUUGUGGGAUUGAAGAAGAAAGACCUUGGGGAGCCCGAGGCGUAGAUUGGGAUUUACUUAGAUUGGCUAUCUUGGAGUGCGUUCGAGGUACAGACGCACAGUUCGGUGAUCCCCCAGUUUAGGAUAACCUCUCCUGCUGUUUGGAGUGCUCUUCUCAUUUCAGAGCAUACACUUUUGGUAUAUAUAUUUUGUUCGCUAUGUAUGCAUAUGUUUGUUCAGGGGUACGGCGGGGUCCUGUCCCGCCAUAUGUUCCGUUUGGUCUGUUUAGAGGUCUGUAGACGUAAUUGUGGGUGUGUGCCUACUUCUGUACAGAUGUGUGUAUAUGUCUCUAUUCGUUAUGGCAGCCUUGUCGGCGUGCAUUUGUAUAUGUGUUUUGGGCCGUUACGCCAUUUGAUAGCCUGGUCGGCUUUUGUUGCAUUUGACAGCCUUGUCGGCUUUUGAUAUAUUUGACAGCCUUGUCGGCUUCUGACACAUUGAUAGCCUUGCUGGCUUUUUGAUAUAUGUAAAUGUAUAUGUUGCGCUGAAAUGUGUUUGAUACA